This is a small nucleolar RNA of Hyaena hyaena (striped hyena), 127 nucleotides long. RefSeq annotates it as small nucleolar RNA SNORA25. Lineage: Eukaryota; Metazoa; Chordata; Mammalia; Carnivora; Hyaenidae. The record is from RefSeq and is a predicted model, not a curated record. The transcript has a single exon.
AGGUCACUUCCAAGAGGGAUUUGGGAACUAAAACCAAGAGCUCUUAACUCUAUAACCAAAUAGUGAUGUUUUCCAUAGGAUAUAAUAGUUACUCAGUAGUGCUAUGGUUUCCUGAGGAGACAUAAGA